AUCCAAUCCAAAUCGAAGAACAGGCAUGACUGUAGACUCAAGGCAACCACAUCCUUCCUUCUCAGGUUUGUUGCUAUUCUUGAACUCCUCUAUCUCCUGUCUCAUUAAGUCAGCCUUCUCCUUGUGGCCCUUCUCCAGUAGAUCCUUCUGCUCCUGCAUCUUGCACUCCAAGGCCCUGUGGAAGUCCUGUUCCUGUUGCUUCAAAUCCUCUUAUCUUCUCUUCCAUCUGCUUCAACUUCUCGUCUUUGCUUCUGCGAUCGUCCUCCAUGGUGCGCUCCAUCUCCAACCGUUUCUCUCCAGCAGCCUUCUUCUCCUGCUCCAGCACAGCUGAUCCCUCCUUCUCCUGUGAAUGGUACAAAUUAAGAUAUUAUGCUUGCAGGAUGGAAUACUUCUCUAGACUCUUUUCCUUCCGGAACUGUUCAAGAAUCUCCUCAGCCUGCAGAAAACAUCCCCAAAGGCUUCAUGUUUGCCAUCAAACAAUGAUAAAUCUAAAACCGGUUGGAUCUGUUUCCGAUGACCACUUCCAUAAGGACAAAACCAGCAGACAACAGAUUGAAUAUUUCUGGGAGCUGUAGGCUAAUCAUCCUCUGAAGUCACACCAUGGAUUUCCCAAUAUGCCUGGUCAAAAAUGCAGACGGCGAGCUUCAUGUAGUUCCUGGGGCCAUCAAGUACCUGAUGAGACUGAAUGAGCAAGUCGUUAGUGGUGGCGGUGGUCAGGCUGUACCGCACCGGCAUGUCUUACCUCAUGAACAAGCUGUCUGGAAAGAGAAAAGGUUUUGCCCUGGGAGCCACUAUCCAAUCCAAGACUAAAGGAAUCUGGAUAUGGUGUGUGCCUCACCCUGAAAAGUGAGACCACACCCUGGUGCUGCUGGAUACAGAGCAGAUGGGAGAUGGUAACCAUGGUUGACAGAGGAAGAACAAUGAUUCCAAGCACCACCCUCCUUUUGAAGCUUCCAGUCUUGUUAUUCGAACUCAAUCAGCAUGACAGAGUGACCUCCAGCCUUGUCCUCGUCAACACUCACACCUGUGCUAAUGAGAGAAUCACUGACAUGUCAGCUGGCCCUUUUGUGGCAGGGCUGAAAUACAGUGGAAAUGUUUUUGGGGGAUUUAGUUCAUUUGCAUGACAAAGAGGGACUUUGCAAUUAAUUUGAUCACUCUUUAAAACGUUCUGGAUGAUAUACAAAUUGCCAUCAUACAAACUUAGGCAGCA
Molecule: long non-coding RNA, 1210 nt
Organism: Oncorhynchus tshawytscha (Chinook salmon)
Lineage: Eukaryota; Metazoa; Chordata; Actinopteri; Salmoniformes; Salmonidae
Source: Ensembl